RNAcentral lists this ribosomal RNA (502 nucleotides) under uncultured bacterium. Its description in RNAcentral is "partial 16S ribosomal RNA". It matches the Rfam family "Bacterial small subunit ribosomal RNA", at positions 29 to 507 of the family's 1533-position model. The record is from RNAcentral.
AGCGAACGCUGGCGGCGUGCCUAACACAUGCAAGUCGAACGUGAAAGGGAGCAAUCCCAAGUAAAGUGGCGUACGGGUGAGUAACACGUAGGUAAUCUACCCCAGAAUCUGGAAUAACCGGCCGAAAGGCUGGCUAAUACUGGAUAGAGCGACGGAAUCCGUAAUUGGGUUUUUCGGGAAAGGGAGCCUGUAAAAAGGCCUUCGUUCUGGGAUGAGCCUGCGUCCCAUCAGCUAGUUGGUGAGGUAAAAGCUUACCAAGGCAAUGACGGGUAGCUGGUCUGAGAGGACGAUCAGCCACACUGGAACUGAAACACGGUCCAGACUCCUACGGGAGGCAGCAGUGGGGAAUCUUGCGCAAUGGACGAAAGUCUGACGCAGCAACGCCGCGUGAGUGAAGAAGGCCGUCGGGUUGGAAAGCUCUGUCGAGUGGGACGAAAAUGCUUGGAGUUCACAGCUCCAGGAACUGACGGUACCACUAAAGGAAGCACCGGCUAACUCCGUG